RNAcentral lists this ribosomal RNA (497 nucleotides) under uncultured bacterium. Its description in RNAcentral is "partial 16S ribosomal RNA". It matches the Rfam family "Bacterial small subunit ribosomal RNA", at positions 28 to 507 of the family's 1533-position model. The record is from RNAcentral.
GAUGAACGCUGGCGGCGUGCCUAAUACAUGCAAGUCGAGCGAACAGACGAUGAUCUUGCUCCUCUGACGUUAGCGGCGGACGUGUGAGUAACACGUGUAUCACCUACCUAUCAGACUGGGAUCACUUCGGGAAACCGGAUCUAAUACCGUAUAAUAUAUUGAACCGCAUUGUUCAAUAGUGAAAUACGGUUUUGCUGUCACUUAUAGAUGGAUCCGCGCCGCAUUAGCUAGUUGUUAAGGUAACGGCUUACCACGGCAACGAUGCGUAGCCGACCUGAGAGGGGGAUAGGCCACACGGGAAGUGAGACACGGUCAAGACGCCUACGGGAGGGAGCAGUAGGGAAUCUUCCGCAAUGGGCGAAAGCAUGACGGAGCAACGCCGCGUGAGUGAUGAAGGUCUUCGGAUCGUAAAACUCUGUUAUUAGGGAAGAACAAAUGUGUAAGUAAAUAUGCACGUAUUGACGGUACCUAAUCAGAAAGCAACGGCUAACUACGUG